AUAAAUAAACCUUGAUUUCCUUUCCUUGUCUUUCAGUUUGGGUGAUUUGGAAGAGUGUGCUGUAUGCUAAGCAACGCUGAGCUCUAGCCACCUUGAGUGAGAACCAGUGGCCUGUGUCAGGAGGUCAUACAAGGCAAAUUAAAGAAGAAAUCUUCUGAUGUGGUGGACAUGUUUGACCUCGGACAUAGCAACUCAAAAAUCUCCCUGAUGGCCUCUUUGCCACUAAAAAAACAGAUACUGGUUCCCCGCUCCCAUGGUUAAGAAGGAAGCUGGAAGAAAUUGCAGAAGAGUUUUCAAAGCUGUGAGUGAACCUUGUCAAAACCCAGAGGAAGAGUCUCAGGGAAACAGAGGUCAUGAAAUGUCAAAGAUGGAAAUUCAUUGAGGAUGCUUUCUGGCUCUGAAUAUUUCAACCUCUCUAAGAUGAGAAGG
Molecule: long non-coding RNA, 429 nt
Filed under: Castor canadensis (American beaver)
Lineage: Eukaryota; Metazoa; Chordata; Mammalia; Rodentia; Castoridae
Description: lncRNA (ENSCCNG00000007111.1)
Source: RNAcentral